Molecule: ribosomal RNA, 334 nt
Filed under: uncultured archaeon
Lineage: Archaea
Description: partial 16S ribosomal RNA
Source: RNAcentral
UUCCUUUAAGUUUCAGACUUGCGUCCGUACUUCCCAGGCGGCAAACUUAACGGCUUCCCUGCGGCACUGCAUUGGCCAUAAGCCAAUGCAUCACCGAGUUUGCAUCGUUUACAGCUGGGACUACCCGGGUAUCUAAUCCGGUUUGCUCCCCCAGCUUUCAUCCCUCACCGUCGAACGUGUUCUGGCAGACCGCCUUCGCCACUGGUGGUCCUCGGAGGAUCAGAGGAUUUUACCCCUACCCCCCGAAUACCGUCCGCCUCUCCCACUCCCUAGCUUUGUAGUAUCUCCAGCGGCCCAUCUGUUAAGCAGGUGGAUUUAACCGGAGACUUGCAAA